CUUCGUGUGCUCUAGUGACAUUUAAAUAUACGUUAUUUUCAGGAAACUGAACUGGGCUAUUUUCCUUACUUUCUCUGAAGGGUUUUAUAAUUAUUUUAUAAUUAUUGAAGAUAAUUAUUAACAAAAUGUGUACUCAGAUGAUUAAUGUAAUCUUUCUGCUUAACCUAUACUCCUAUCCAAGUAAACAUUUAUUUCUUGUUUAAAUUAAGAACAAAUAAAAGCCUACAUUGUGUAACCUGAAGAAAAAUUGAAACAGGAUCAGCUCAAGUUUUCCUCAACUUAAAUUUCUGUGGUAUUUUGACCUAUUCUGCGUGAACACUGUGGAGGUGUUGUGCUACUUGAAAAUGACCACAGUUAAAUUGGUGUGCUGUUUUAACUCAAGUACAAUCUGUAUUUUGAUUCCGCAGAUGGAGGUGCUGUGCCAUUGCUACUAAAGAAGCCCUGACCACCCCACAGCUCAUUGACUGAAGCCUGACCUUGCUGCAUUCAUGACCUGCACAGUGCCCCAACCAAGCUUUGUUUGGUCUCCAGACAAAAAAAUCUACAUUAAAUGGACCAAAAAGGAAGAAGUCUGAAAAUUGACUGGCAGCUAUCAGCAAAUUGAAGACAGGGAAACUUUCAGAAGCAUUUGCUUUCUAAGCUGCUGUUGCCUGCAGUCUUCUUGAUACCAGAAUUUUAUUUGCUUCCUGCAUUUUGUUGGAAGCUUUUGACUGAGAAUACAAGAAAAAAGUAUUUGAAUUGCUUUUGGAUUUCUUACAGAGGUUUUAUCUUAUUUUUAAAAUCUGUGAGCUGGAUGUGCAUUUCAUUCCUUCUCAUUUUUCCUUUUGCUGCUGAAUAUGUUUGUAUCCAGCACAAAGUGGAAUGCAAAAUAAUUGAGUAAUUUGUAAUACUGAAUAUUAAUACUGAAAAUAACACAACCCCCAAUAUUCUCAGCAGUUCCAUUUGUAACUCAAGAUUUGACCUGUAGUAGAGAUAACAAAGUAUUUUGAUAUUAUCAGAGUUCUGUUUGCAUUAAAACUUUAAAAAUCUG
Parus major (Great Tit) is the source of this 1030-nucleotide long non-coding RNA. RefSeq lists it as uncharacterized. The record is from RefSeq and is a predicted model, not a curated record. The transcript has 4 exons. Lineage: Eukaryota; Metazoa; Chordata; Aves; Passeriformes; Paridae.